RNAcentral lists this ribosomal RNA (397 nucleotides) under uncultured bacterium. Its description in RNAcentral is "partial 16S ribosomal RNA". It matches the Rfam family "Bacterial small subunit ribosomal RNA", at positions 523 to 918 of the family's 1533-position model. The record is from RNAcentral.
AUACGUAGGUGACAAGCGUUAUCCGGAUUUACUGGGCGUAAAGGGCGUGUAGGCGGUCUUGCAAGUCAGAAGUGAAAUUCCUGAGCUCAACUCGGGCGCUGCUUCUGAAACUGCAGGACUUGAGUGCUGGAGGGGAUAGCGGAAUUCCUAGUGGAGCGGUAAAAUGCGCAGAUAUUAGGAAGAACACCGGGGGCGAAGGCGGCUAUCUGGACAUAAACUGAGGCCUAGUCGCGAAGGCGUGGGGAGCAAACAGGAUGAGAUACCCUGGUAGUCCACGCUGUAAACGAUGAGUGCUAAGUGUUGGAGGGUUUCCGCCCUUCAGUGCUGCAGCUAACACAAUAAGUAUUCCGCCUGGGGAGUACAGCCUCAAGGUUGAAACUCAAAUGAAUUGACGGGG